AUCAGGAGUGGCUUUCCUGUUUGUUGCUUUCCUGGGCAAGUGACGUUGGAUUGUUGCAGUGAAUUUCUGCCUUAAGAUUGGCUUCAUCUCAAGAACAAGGGAAGAUGACCUCAAGAAUGCCAAGGACCAUCGCCUUCCCUCUCUGACACUCUUUAGCUCUCACUCACCACCGGCCAGAAGCAGCUGGUGAGCAGGGGGCCAGCAGGGCUGAGCUGCUCCUCACACCACGCUUCUGCUGCUGCAUGGUCCCUCUCCACCAGAACUGAUGGGACCAUCGCUUUGUGGACAGAUCGAAACCAAGUCUGGCCUGCAGGACUGCAUGGGAUUCUCAUGCUCAACACAAGGCUGAAAAACCAAAGCUGAAAAUACG
Gallus gallus (chicken) is the source of this 370-nucleotide long non-coding RNA. Lineage: Eukaryota; Metazoa; Chordata; Aves; Galliformes; Phasianidae. The record is from Ensembl.